CCUACGGGAGGCAGCAGUGGGGAAUAUUGCGCAAUGGGCGAAAGCCUGACGCAGCGACGCCGCGUGAGGGAUGAAGGUCUUCGGAUCGUAAACCUCUGUCAGCAGGGAAGAACGGUCACUGUGCUAAUCAGCAGUGAAUUGACGGUACCUGCAAAGGAAGCACCGGCUAACUCCGUGCCAGCAGCUGCGGUAAUACGGAGGGUGCGAGCGUUAAUCGGAAUUACUGGGCGUAAAGCGCUCGUAGGCGGUAUGUCAAGUCAAGGGUGAAAUCCCCGCGCUCAACGUGGGAACUGCCUUGGAAACUGGCAAACUUGAGUGUGUGAGAGGAUAGUGGAAUUCGAGGUGUAGGAGUGAAAUCCGUAGAUAUCUCGAGGAACAUCAGUGGCGAAGGCGACUAUCUGGCACAUAACUGACGCUGAGGAGCGAAGGCGUGGGUAGCAAACAGGAUUAGAUACCCUUGUAGUC
Molecule: ribosomal RNA, 465 nt
Filed under: uncultured bacterium
Lineage: Bacteria
Description: partial 16S ribosomal RNA
Rfam family: Bacterial small subunit ribosomal RNA
Source: RNAcentral